GACAGAGGUGCCGAGCGUUAGGCGGAAUCACUGGGCUUAAAGCGUAUGUAGGCGGAGUUCUAAGUACCUUGUGAAAUCCCACGGCUUAACCGUGGAACUGCUUGGUAUACUGGUUCUCUUGGGCCAUCUAGGGGCUAGCGGAACAAACGGUGGAGCGGUGAAAUGCGUAGAUAUCGUGUGGAACGCCAAUGGUGAAAACAGCUAGCUGGGGAUGUGCCGACGCUGAGACACGAAAGCCAGGGGAGCGAACGGG
RNAcentral lists this ribosomal RNA (253 nucleotides) under uncultured bacterium. RNAcentral describes it as "partial 16S ribosomal RNA". It matches the Rfam family "Bacterial small subunit ribosomal RNA", at positions 524 to 776 of the family's 1533-position model. The record is from RNAcentral.